CCUACGGGUGGCAGCAGUGAGGAAUAUUGGUCAAUGGGGGCAAGCCUGAACCAGCCACGUCGCGUGAGGGAUGACGGUCCUAUGGAUUGUAAACCUCUUUUGUCGGGGAGCAAAGCCCGCCACGUCUGGCGGGAAGGAGAGUACCCGAAGAAAUAGCAUCGGCUGACUCCGUGCCAGCAGCCGCGGUAAUACUGGGGAUGCGAGCGGUAUCCGGAUGUAUAGAGUUUAAAGGGUGCUUAGGCGGAAGUUUAAGUCAGCGGUCAAAUGUAGGUGCUCAACACCGGCCUGCCGUUGAAACUGGUCUUCUUGAGUGAGCGAGAGGUAUGCGGAAUGCGUGGUGUAGCGGUGAAAUGCAGAGAUAGCACGCAGAACUCCGGUGGCGAAGGCAGCAUACUGGCGCUCAACUGACGCUGAGGCACGAAAGCGUGGGGAUCGAACAGGAUUAGAUACCCUAGUAGUC
Molecule: ribosomal RNA, 460 nt
Filed under: uncultured bacterium
Lineage: Bacteria
Description: partial 16S ribosomal RNA
Rfam family: Bacterial small subunit ribosomal RNA
Source: RNAcentral